Molecule: non-coding RNA, 711 nt
Organism: Gambusia affinis (western mosquitofish)
Lineage: Eukaryota; Metazoa; Chordata; Actinopteri; Cyprinodontiformes; Poeciliidae
Source: the annotation of a RefSeq genome assembly
UUGGUACCUUCACAUAGCAACAUGUUCGCUCUAACUCUCCUGCUGCUGCUGGCUGCUGGAUCCUAUGUGAUGUGUGAGCAGCUGCAACAGCCAGACUCUUUGACUGUGCAGCCAGGUCAGAGUCUGACUGUCAGCUGUCAGGUCUCUUAUUCUCUGAGCAGCUACUGGACAGCUUGGAUCAGACAGCCUGCUGGGAAAGGACUGGAGUGGAUUGGGAGCAAAUAUACAGGAGAUUCAUACUACAAAAAAUCACUGGAGAACAAGUUCAGUAUUACCUUAGACACAUCCAGUAACACAGUGACUCUGAAUGGACAGAAUAUGCAGCCUGGAGACUCUGCUGUGUAUUACUGUGCAAGAGACCACAGUUACAAAAACAAGCAACAGAGCUGUGUUUGGAGUGAGAUCAAAUUGCAGCAGCCUCAACCCUCUGAGGUGAAAAGACCAGGAGACACUGUGAAGAUUUCAUGUGUCACGUCUGGUUACACAAUGACACAGUACGGCAUGCACUGGAUAAAACAGAAAUCUGGGAAAGGUUUAGAAUGGAUUGGGUGGAUAAACACAUACACAGCUGCUGCUACCUAUGCCAGUUCUUUUCAGAGUCGUUUCACCUUCACUCAAGAUGUUUCCAGCAGCACUCAGUUCCUGCAGAUCACCAGUCUCACUACAGAGGACUCUGCUGUUUACUUCUGUGCAAGACAGCACAGUGACUGA